Molecule: unclassified non-coding RNA, 376 nt
Filed under: Hevea brasiliensis (rubber tree)
Lineage: Eukaryota; Viridiplantae; Streptophyta; Magnoliopsida; Malpighiales; Euphorbiaceae
Source: RNAcentral
GCUAUUUCUAUUAUUGAAGAAGAACUUGGAGCCCCUUUGGCUGAUAUUUUUGAUCGAUUUGAUUACGAACCAAUAGCUGCUGCAAGUCUUGGCCAGGUUCAUCGUGCGAGCUUGAAGGGCCAAGAAGUAGUGGUGAAAGUACAAAGACCUGGUUUGAAGGAUUUAUUUGACAUUGAUCUGAAGAAUCUAAGGGUAAUUGCCGAAUACCUUCAGAAGGUGGAUCCAAAGUCGGACGGUGCUAAGAGAGACUGGGUUGCUAUCUAUGAUGAGUGUGCUAGUGUCCUCUAUGAGGAGAUAGAUUACACCAAAGAAGCAGCUAAUGCAGAACUGUUUGCUAAAAACUUCGAAUCCAUGGAUUAUGUCAAAGUGCCAAAUA